This 252-nucleotide ribosomal RNA is filed under the name uncultured bacterium. RNAcentral's name for it is "partial 16S ribosomal RNA". It matches the Rfam family "Bacterial small subunit ribosomal RNA", at positions 524 to 776 of the family's 1533-position model. The record is from RNAcentral.
UACGUAGGGUGCGAGCGUUGUCCGAUUUAUUGGGCGUAAAGAGCUCGUAGGCGGUUUGUCGCGUCGGCCGUGAAAUCUCCACGCUUAACGUGGAGCGUGCGGUCGAUACGGGCAGACUUGAGUUCGGUAGGGGAGACUGGAAUUCCUGGUGUAGCGGUGAAAUGCGCAGAUAUCAGGAGGAACACCGGUGGCGAAGGCGGGUCUCUGGGCCGAUACUGACGCUGAGGAGCGAAAGCGUGGGGAGCGAACAGG